AGCUGAUGCUGAGAAUAUCACACUCUUUGAGUAUCAUGGUUCAUUCCAGACCAACAAUGAAACAUAUGAUCGUUUUGAAAGAUUUGACAUCGAAGGAGAUGAUGAAACACAGAUGAACUUCAAUCCAAGAGAAGGUGCUGAAAUACCUACAACUCUCAUCCCAUCACCACCUCGUCAGCAGGAGCAGGACAUUCCCGAAGGAGUCAACCCCACAAGCCCCCAGCGCCAGGAGCAUGGUAGGGACGAAUUUGCUGAGCGGAGGGAGGAACAAAACAUACCGGACAGAGAGGUAUUUGCUAUUACUAGGAAUACUUUCAUCUAGUGAGA
Camelina sativa (false flax) is the source of this 327-nucleotide non-coding RNA. NCBI's taxonomy places the organism in Eukaryota, Viridiplantae, Streptophyta, Magnoliopsida, Brassicales, Brassicaceae. The record is from RefSeq and is a predicted model, not a curated record.